Condylura cristata (star-nosed mole) is the source of this 72-nucleotide non-coding RNA. Lineage: Eukaryota; Metazoa; Chordata; Mammalia; Eulipotyphla; Talpidae. The record is from the annotation of a RefSeq genome assembly.
UCCCUGGUGGCCAAGGGGUUAAGGCUCAGUGCUGUCACCUCUGAGGCCUGAGUUCGAUCCCCAGCCAGAGAG